This is a regulatory RNA element of Cavia porcellus (domestic guinea pig), 75 nucleotides long. It matches the Rfam family "GAIT element". From Rfam's summary of the family: This family represents a cis-acting element in the 3'-UTR of the ceruloplasmin (Cp) gene called gamma interferon inhibitor of translation (GAIT). The GAIT element is involved in selective translational silencing of the Cp transcript. The record is from Rfam. Lineage: Eukaryota; Metazoa; Chordata; Mammalia; Rodentia; Caviidae.
GUGUGUGACAGUGCUGAAUGGAAAAUUUACUGUGGAAUGGCUAUAAAUAUUAAAAACAAAAGACUGGAAACACAU